RNAcentral lists this ribosomal RNA (499 nucleotides) under uncultured bacterium. Its description in RNAcentral is "partial 16S ribosomal RNA". It matches the Rfam family "Bacterial small subunit ribosomal RNA", at positions 28 to 507 of the family's 1533-position model. The record is from RNAcentral.
GACGAACGCUGGCGGCGUGCCUAAUACAUGCAAGUCGAGCGGACUUUCAAGAAGCUUGCUUUUUGAAAGUUAGCGGCGGACGGGUGAGUAACACGUGGGCAACCUGCCUGCAAGACGGGGAUAACUCCGGGAAACCGGGGCUAAUACCGGAUAAUAUCUUCCUUCGCAUGAAGGAAGGUUGAAAGGCGGCGCAAGCUGCCGCUUGCAGAUGGGCCCGCGGCGGAUUAGCUAGUUGGUGAGGUAACGGCUCACCAAGGCGACGAUGCGUAGCCGACCUGAGAGGGGGAUCGGCCACGCUGGGACUGGGGCACGGCCCAGACUCCUACGGGAGGCAGCAGUAGGGGAUCUUCCGCGAUGGACGAAAGUCGGACGGAGCAACGCCGCGUGAGCGCAGAAGGUCUUCGGAUCGUAAAGCUCUGUUGUCCGGGAAGAACAAGUACCGUUCGAACAGGGCGGUACCUUGACGGUACCUGACCAGAAAGCCACGGCUAACUACGUG